AAAACAGCUUCUUCCCUAGGUUGUGAGACUCCUGAACACCCUGCCAUCAGCGUUCUCACCAGGGAGAAUAAUGUGGAGAAGGAAGAAACGAACAAGAGCAGCAAGAGAAAGUACAAAUGAUGAAGUAGGGUGCCGUGCACAAUCCUGAUUUGAUGGAGACAGACAUGAGAGCACCGAGGAACAUCUGGUGAAACUUCUGAAAUGCCUGCCUCGCUGCCGCUGCUACUGUGUGAUCCAAAAUCUCCGGAGGGGAAGGCUCUGAGUCCUCGGCUUUGCUUAUUGCCUGGGGUGGGGUCGAAGCGCUCGGCAGAGAUGGUGCCUGGUGUCGGAGGGCUGGUCGGAGGCUUGAAGUUUUUGGACGGACUCGGAAUCGGCUGCGGUCGGGUGCUUCCAAUGCAUCAACAAGUUUGCGGCGCUUCCGUCUACAUGAGAUGAUGGGGCUAUCGGGACUUUGAGACUUUUUUUUACCAUGCCCAUGGUCUGCUCUUUAUCAAAUUACAGUAUUGCUUUGCACUGUUGUAACUAUGUGUUAUAAUUAUGUGGUUUUGUCAGUUUUAGUCUUGGUUUGUCCUGUGUUUCUGUGAUAUCUUUCUGGAGGGACAUUGUAUGAUUUUUUAAUGCAUG
Mobula hypostoma (lesser devil ray) is the source of this 624-nucleotide long non-coding RNA. RefSeq lists it as uncharacterized. NCBI's taxonomy places the organism in Eukaryota, Metazoa, Chordata, Chondrichthyes, Myliobatiformes, Myliobatidae. The record is from RefSeq and is a predicted model, not a curated record. The transcript is spliced from 3 exons.